UACGUAUGGUGCAAGCGUUAUCCGGAAUUACUGGGUGUAAAGGGAGCGUAGACGGCUAAGCAAGCCAGAUGUGAAAGGCAUGGGCUCAACUCAUGGACUGCAUUUGGAACUGUAUAGCUAGAGUGCCGGAGGGGUAAGCGGAAUUCCUAGUGUAGCGGUGAAAUGCGUAGAUAUUAGGAGGAACACCGGUGGCGAAGGCGGCUUACUGGACGGCAACUGACGUUGAGGCUCGAAAGCGUGGGGAG
This 245-nucleotide ribosomal RNA is filed under the name uncultured Lachnospiraceae bacterium. Its description in RNAcentral is "partial 16S ribosomal RNA". It matches the Rfam family "Bacterial small subunit ribosomal RNA", at positions 524 to 768 of the family's 1533-position model. The record is from RNAcentral. Lineage: Bacteria; Bacillati; Bacillota; Clostridia; Lachnospirales; Lachnospiraceae.